Molecule: ribosomal RNA, 439 nt
Filed under: uncultured bacterium
Lineage: Bacteria
Description: partial 16S ribosomal RNA
Rfam family: Bacterial small subunit ribosomal RNA
Source: RNAcentral
CCUACGAGGAGCAGCAGUGGGGAAUAUUGCACAAUGGGGGAAACCCUGAUGCAGCGACGCCGCGUGAGCGAUGAAGUAUUUCGGUAUGUAAAGCUCUAUCAGCAGGGAAGAAAAUGACGGUACCUGACUAAGAAGCCCCGGCUAACUACGGGCAAGCAGCCGCGGUAAUACGGAGGGGAAAGCGUUAUCCGGAUUUACUGGGUGGAAAGGGAGCGUAGACGGCUGUGCAAGCCAGAUGUGAAAGCCCGGGGCUCCACCCCGGGACUGCAUUUGGAACUGUGUGGCUGGAGUGUCGGAGAGGCAGGCGGAAUUCCUAGUGUAGCGGUGAAAUGCGUAGAUAUUAGGAGGAACACCAGUGGCGAAGGCGGCCUGCUGGACGAUGACUGACGUUGAGGCUCGAAAGCGUGGGGAGCAAACAGGAUUAGAUACCCGAGUAGUC